UACGUAGGGUGCAAGCGUUAAUCGGAAUUACUGGGCGUAAAGCGUGCGCAGGCGGUUGUGCAAGACCGAUGUGAAAUCCCCGGGCUCAACCUGGGAAUGGCAUUGGUGACUGCACGGCUAGAGUGUGUCAGAGGGGGGUAGAAUUCCACGUGUAGCAGUGAAAUGCGUAGAGAUGUGGAGGAAUACCGAUGGCGAAGGCAGCCUCCUGGGAUAACACUGACGCUCAUGCACGAAAGCGUGGGGAGCAAACAGG
RNAcentral lists this ribosomal RNA (253 nucleotides) under uncultured bacterium. RNAcentral describes it as "partial 16S ribosomal RNA". It matches the Rfam family "Bacterial small subunit ribosomal RNA", at positions 524 to 776 of the family's 1533-position model. The record is from RNAcentral.